CGAUGUACACUAGGUGUCCGGCGUUGAAGCCGGGUGCCAAAGCAAACGUGAUAAGUGUACCGCCUGGGGAGUAUGCCCGCAAGGGUGAAACUCAAAGGAAUUGACGGGGGCCCGCACAAGCGGUGGAGCAUGUGGUUUAAUUCGAUGGUACGCGAGGAACCUUACCUGGGUUUGACAUAGUAUCUAAUGCCGUAGAGAUACGGCAGCGUAGCAAUACGAGGUACAACAGGUGCUGCAUGGCUGUCGUCAG
Molecule: ribosomal RNA, 250 nt
Filed under: uncultured bacterium
Lineage: Bacteria
Description: partial 16S ribosomal RNA
Rfam family: Bacterial small subunit ribosomal RNA
Source: RNAcentral